GAAAUUCGAAUGAUUUCUCCACCCAGGUUACAAGUAUUGUUGUAAGGGUUGUUCUGCUACCUAGGAGCAUUUUCCACACAAUCAACUUUCUCCGGCUUAGCGAACGUGUUGCCAUUUUGGCAAUCUUGACUUUUAUGACCACCCUUGCACCAAUCACAAGUCAUGCCUUCCAGAUGAAAACAUAAUCAAAGUAUCCAUCUUUCUACUCAUGG
RNAcentral lists this long non-coding RNA (212 nucleotides) under Ricinus communis (castor bean). RNAcentral describes it as "long non-coding RNA (RCOM_LNC002878)". The record is from RNAcentral. Lineage: Eukaryota; Viridiplantae; Streptophyta; Magnoliopsida; Malpighiales; Euphorbiaceae.